GCCCGGAUGGCGAAAUUGGUAGACGCAAGGGACUUAAAAUCCCUCGGAGGUUGACUCCGUGCCGGUUCGAGCCCGGCUCCGGGCA
Molecule: transfer RNA, 85 nt
Filed under: Modicisalibacter xianhensis
Lineage: Bacteria; Pseudomonadati; Pseudomonadota; Gammaproteobacteria; Oceanospirillales; Halomonadaceae
Description: Halomonas sp. A-1 tRNA
Rfam family: tRNA
About the family: Transfer RNA (tRNA) molecules are approximately 80 nucleotides in length. Their secondary structure includes four short double-helical elements and three loops (D, anti-codon, and T loops).
Source: Rfam by way of RNAcentral